AUGGGCGCCAACGGGCACCCGCCGCCCGCCAGCGCCGCCGCCCAGAACGGGUCCCACUCUAGCGGCGGCGGCGGCGGCGGAGGAGGAGCAAACCCUAGCUCCGGCGGCACGGCGGCGGCGCUCCGGCACGACCCGGGCCUGUCCCGGGAGUGGACGCCGGAGGAGCAGGCCAUCCUCGACGAGCUGCUCGUCAAGUAUGCAUCUGAUGCGCCUGUUAUUCGGUAUGCAAAAAUAGCCAUAAAGUUGCCAGAGAAAACAGUUCGAGAUGUGGCUUUGCGGUGUAGAUGGAUGAGUAAAAAGGAGAGUGGUAAAAGAAAGAAAGAGGACCACAGCUCAUCAAAGAAAAGCAAGGACAAAAAGGAGAAGGUUGCAGAUUCUUCAUCGAAACCACCUGUUCAUAUAGCUGGAAGGCCGAGUGUUCCGCCAUACUCCCUUCCAGCACUUCCCAUUGAUGAUGACGAAAUUUCAUCCAAAGCAAUUGGAGGUCCAACAGGAGAACUCCUUGAAACUAACGCCCAGGUUUUAAGUCAAAUUUCAACAAACCUUGGCACCAUGCAGAUACAGGAUAACAUCUCUCUGCUGUGCCAAACUCGAGAUAACAUACUCAGGGUGUUGAAAGAGAUGAAUGAUGCCCCAGAGAUCAUGAAGCAGAUGCCACCACUACCCGUGAAGAUAAACGAGGAGCUUGUCAACUCCAUACUCCCCAGGCCAACUGUACCUAUGCAGUAG
This 729-nucleotide ribosomal RNA is filed under the name Triticum aestivum (bread wheat). RNAcentral describes it as "partial small subunit ribosomal RNA". Lineage: Eukaryota; Viridiplantae; Streptophyta; Magnoliopsida; Poales; Poaceae. The record is from RNAcentral.